AAUGGGUCAGCGACUUAUAUUCUGUAGCAAGGUUAACCGAAUAGGGGAGCCGAAGGGAAACCGAGUCUUAACUGGGCGUUAAGUUGCAGGGUAUAGACCCGAAACCCGGUGAUCUAGCCAUGGGCAGGUUGAAGGUUGGGUAACACUAACUGGAGGACCGAACCGACUAAUGUUGAAAAAUUAGCGGAUGACUUGUGGCUGGGGGUGAAAGGCCAAUCAAACCGGGAGAUAGCUGGUUCUCCCCGAAAGCUAUUUAGGUAGCGCCUCGUGAAUUCAUCUCCGGGGGUAGAGCACUGUUUCGGCAAGGGGGUCAUCCCGACUUACCAACCCGAUGCAAACUGCGAAUACCGGAGAAUGUUAUCACGGGAGACACACGGCGGGUGCUAACGUCCGUCGUGAAGAGGGAAACAACCCAGACCGCCAGCUAAGGUCCCAAAGUCAUGGUUAAGUGGGAAACGAUGUGGGAAGGCCCAGACAGCCAGGAUGUUGGCUUAGAAGCAGCCAUCAUUUAAAGAAAGCGUAAUAGCUCACUGGUCGAGUCGGCCUGCGCGGAAGAUGUAACGGGGCUAAACCAUGCACCGAAGCUGCGGCAGCGACGCUUAUGCGUUGUUGGGUAGGGGAGCGUUCUGUAAGCCUGUGAAGGUGUGCUGUGAGGCAUGCUGGAGGUAUCAGAAGUGCGAAUGCUGACAUAAGUAACGAUAAAGCGGGUGAAAAGCCCGCUCGCCGGAAGACCAAGGGUUCCUGUCCAACGUUAAUCGGGGCAGGGUGAGUCGACCCCUAAGGCGAGGCCGAAAGGCGUAGUCGAUGGGAAACAGGUUAAUAUUCCUGUACUUGGUGUUACUGCGAAGGGGGGACGGAGAAGGCUAUGUUGGCCGGGCGACGGUUGUCCCGGUUUAAGCGUGUAGGCUGGUUUUCCAGGCAAAUCCGGAAAAUCAAGGCUGAGGCGUGAUGACGAGGCACUACGGUGCUGAAGCAACAAAUGCCCUGCUUCCAGGAAAAGCCUCUAAGCAUCAGGUAACAUCAAAUCGUACCCCAAACCGACACAGGUGGUCAGGUAGAGAAUACCAAGGCGCUUGAGAGAACUCGGGUGAAGGAACUAGGCAAAAUGGUGCCGUAACUUCGGGAGAAGGCACGCUGAUAUGUAGGUGAAGCGACUUGCUCGUGGAGCUGAAAUCAGUCGAAGAUACCAGCUGGCUGCAACUGUUUAUUAAAAACACAGCACUGUGCAAACACGAAAGUGGACGUAUACGGUGUGACGCCUGCCCGGUGCCGGAAGGUUAAUUGAUGGGGUUAGCGCAAGCGAAGCUCUUGAUCGAAGCCCCGGUAAACGGCGGCCGUAACUAUAACGGUCCUAAGGUAGCGAAAUUCCUUGUCGGGUAAGUUCCGACCUGCACGAAUGGCGUAAUGAUGGCCAGGCUGUCUCCACCCGAGACUCAGUGAAAUUGAACUCGCUGUGAAGAUGCAGUGUACCCGCGGCAAGACGGAAAGACCCCGUGAACCUUUACUAUAGCUUGACACUGAACAUUGAGCCUUGAUGUGUAGGAUAGGUGGGAGGCUU
RNAcentral lists this ribosomal RNA (1558 nucleotides) under Escherichia coli. Its description in RNAcentral is "partial 23S ribosomal RNA". It matches the Rfam family "Bacterial large subunit ribosomal RNA", at positions 614 to 2157 of the family's 2925-position model. The record is from RNAcentral. Lineage: Bacteria; Pseudomonadati; Pseudomonadota; Gammaproteobacteria; Enterobacterales; Enterobacteriaceae.